RNAcentral lists this long non-coding RNA (435 nucleotides) under Glycine max (soybean). Its description in RNAcentral is "long non-coding RNA (GMAX_LNC003199)". Lineage: Eukaryota; Viridiplantae; Streptophyta; Magnoliopsida; Fabales; Fabaceae. The record is from RNAcentral.
UCGAAUUUAUAUGAUGGAAAAGUUGUAAAAGGACAUGUAACUGUGUGACCUCAUUCUAAUUAUAAAUAACGUACAUGCAUGAUUCACAAUAUUGGGUUAUUGUAGUCUGAUAAAGUUUAUACAUGAUCUUUAGAUAAACAUAAAGCAAAAUGCCUCGAAUUAGGCUUUAUAUAUUAACGAAAGCUACUGGAAGACAACUGCUCGAUCAAAACAUCUCCGGCGAUGGCUGUUUCCACCUUUCAGGCGGCCCACUGACGCGUAUGAAACGUGUAUGAAACGCGUUCCCUUGUCCUUGUCAAAUACCAUAUCUUCUUACAGACCCGUCCUACGCAUUCGCACCAUCGAAAUCGGAGGGGAGCACGUGGAGAAGGAGGUUUUUGGGGCUCCCUCCUCUUGGACCGGCCUCCCCUUCAUCUACGAGAAGGUCCGAAUCAG